UGGUGUUGCUCAGCAGUGCACUGUGCCUCUGUGGUGAGCAGGGGAGCUCUGAGCUGUGCCCUGCAGGAGCAGCUCCAGGCAUAUGCUCCAGAGGAGUCAGCAGAAAGAAAAGAGCCUUUCCCUGUUCCUGCCCUCCCCACGCUGCAUCUCUGGACAGAAUUCCCUAUUUCAGUAUUUAAAGGUGAUUUUAUACCUCUGGACUUGUUCCCCAAGGAGCACAAGGUGCAGGAAACACCCUGACACAGGGAGAGAGGAGUGGGCACAGCCCAUUUGAGGUCUUUCCUAUGUUUGUUCCCACAAAGGAUGGAGAUUCUUGGCUCUCUGUGGAUCUUCUCCUGCUCCACAGCUUCACAAGACCUGCCUGGACUUCCUCCCCAUCCCAAUGCUUUGUCCCUGCUGUCCCACUGAGUUCAGCUCCUCCAGCUCUCCCACUAAUUUGGAGGCACAGAAAAACACAGGUCAUGAACAAGACACAUCCUGGGACAAUUUCUUCUGAUCGUUUGUGUUGCAAGCUGCUGGUCCAAACCAUAAGAAAUCUCUCCUUCUUUUACAACCACAUUUCCUUUUCUCAUAGCAUGGGAGAGCCUCAUGAGCUAUAAGGAACUCUUGCACUCCUGCAGCCAGCACAUACCCUCAUUUUGACAGGGAGAAGCCAGGAGUCAAGCAGGCAGAUCCCAGUCCUGAUGGAAACGAGCCUGAAAUUCCAUGGACCCGUCUCUGUAUAACAUGUGCUGCACAGAGAACCUGGAAAUGAUCCAGUCCCCAAACUGCUUACAAUAUUGAGGAGAUUUUAACCUUCCACAUCACUGAAUGGCAGCUGAACACUCCAGAAGUGCAAAGCAUGGGAAUCAUCAGCAAUUCCUCAAGUUCCGUGGUGUUGCUCAGCAGUGCACUGUGCCUCUGUGGUGAGCAGGGGAGCUCUGAGCUGUGCCCUGCAGGAGCAGCUCCAGGCACAUGCUCCAGAGGAGUCAGCAGAAAGAAAAGAGCCUUUCCCUGUUCCUGCCCUCCCCACGCUGCAUCUCGGG
Long non-coding RNA from Passer domesticus (house sparrow), 1025 nucleotides. RefSeq lists it as uncharacterized. The record is from RefSeq and is a predicted model, not a curated record. The transcript has 4 exons. Lineage: Eukaryota; Metazoa; Chordata; Aves; Passeriformes; Passeridae.